RNAcentral lists this ribosomal RNA (372 nucleotides) under uncultured organism. RNAcentral describes it as "bacterial SSU rRNA". It matches the Rfam family "Bacterial small subunit ribosomal RNA", at positions 526 to 896 of the family's 1533-position model. The record is from RNAcentral.
CGUAGGGUGCGAGCGUUGUCCGGAAUUAUUGGGCGUAAAGAGCUCGUAGGCGGUUUGUUGCGUCGGCCGUGAAAACUUGGGGCCUAACCCCGAGCCUGCGGUCGAUACGGGCAGACUUGAGUUCGGCAGGGGAGACUGGAAUUCCUGGUGUAGCGGUGAAAUGCGCAGAUAUCAGGAGGAACACCGGUGGCGAAGGCGGGUCUCUGGGCCGAUACUGACGCUGAGGAGCGAAAGCGUGGGGAGCGAACAGGAUUAGAUACCCUGGUAGUCCACGCCGUAAACGGUGGGUGCUAGGUGUGGGGGGCUUCCACGUCCUCCGUGCCGCAGCUAACGCAUUAAGCACCCCGCCUGGGGAGUACGGCCGCAAGGCUA